CGCGAGGUGGGACAACUGGGCCGUGCAUUUUCACGCUACCAAGCGCGCGGCCGCUGGAUAGGCGCUCUCGCGCUCUUCUCCAACCACCAGCCCCGCCACCGUCGGCCAUCAGAGGCGGCGACCAUGUCGAGGUUCUGGAGGUCGGGAUCGGAGAAGCCGAUUACCUUGCUCGUCGACGAGGAGGAGGGCGGCGUCGUAUUCCUCCCCUCCUCCACCAGCUCGGCCUCAUCCGGUUUGGGUACGCGAGCUUGGAGAGACAGCGGCAGCGGCUGCCGGUGUACAAGUACCGCAAAGCCAUCCUCUACCUGGUGGAGCGGCACGCCACGACCAUCGUAGUCGGCGAGACGGCAGUGGCAAGUCCACGCAGACCCCUCAGGAGGCUGGUUAGGCUGAUGGUGGUCGGCUUAUAGGCUGCACUCAGCCCAGACGAUUGGCUAUGCAGGUAUCUGGUGCUUUUAAUGUUCAUUUAGUUGUGCUUGUGCAAAUUGUCUAUUUUAUUCAAAACUAGGUCUUUCUGUUUGAUCAUCUGAUGAGGUCAUGUGUCAUAUUAUUGUUUUGGGAAAAUUGCAAAAACCCACCUGCAACUUUGGAAGUUUGUAAAAAACCCACCUACAACUUCUUUUUCUCUAGUCUCCCACUCGCAACUAUUCUAUGAUGUCAAAUACCCCCCUAUGACCGUUGACCACACCAUGUGGUACCCAUGUGACUUCCUAGGGUUUCGAGAUGUCAUUUCCCACAUCUUGGGGACCAUUUAAACCGACGUAACAUCUCAUUUUUCGGGUUCCUUAUUCAUAUACAGUUGAUUAUUCAUCCUAUAUAUGCAUGCAAAAUUGGAGCGACAGAUAAAUUUAAUUUUUCAGGAGACUAUGAAAUUAAUUCUUGAAGCCACCGUGCCAUUUUGGAAGUCACACAAGCACCAUAUUGUGCGGUCAAAUAGUGCUAGGGGGUAUUUGACAUCAUAUAAGAGUUGCAGGGGGUAGACCGACAAAAAACAAGUUAUAUGUUUUUUUGACAAACCCCUAAAGUUGCAGGUAGAUUUUUGCAAUUUUCCCUAUUGUUUUUGGGGUGUGCAGAAGCAUUUCAUUUUGAUCUAAUAUGAUGCCAAGUUAUGCUCCAUUUACACGUUCUGUUUAGGGAAUACUUCCAUCUGUGUUGUACUUGGAAGACAGUAUGUAAUACUUCCGUUAAAUGUGCCUGCUGAGCGCAAAAUUUUGCAAUCAGGUUUAGCAUGUCCUGAUUCUGCAAUUACUCAUAAAACAUAUAUGCUAGACAGUUUGCAACAGUUGCGUAAUGGCCAUGGUGUCCUAGUAAAAGAUAAUUCGCAAGUCUUGGUAGGUUCCUGUGGGGUUAGCUAAAUAUUUUAGUACUGAAAGCCUGAAAAUUUUACUCUCUUAUGUUUCUUUUCCCUCAAACAUGUAUAUACUAAAUAGUAUUUCAACUUCUGACUAUAUCCUGGCAAAAUGAUGUCCGCUGAAGAAAUAAUCUUCAUGUGGUCCUAGUUUUCUUAGAUCCCGUUCUGAAGCAGUCAGUGGAUAGAUGAUUAUGCUUACUGACUUACAGGAUGGAUGCUGAGUGCACAUUUUACUAGUUUGACACACUGUUGUUGUAUAGUAUUCCUGUUAUGGUAGUUUUUACUGCUCAUAGACUGCAUGUGCAGAUGUUUCCCCUUUUUCUUUUUCUUCUUAUCAUUGCCUUUUCAAUUCAUCUUAGUAA
Long non-coding RNA from Phragmites australis (common reed), 1713 nucleotides. RefSeq lists it as uncharacterized. The record is from RefSeq and is a predicted model, not a curated record. Lineage: Eukaryota; Viridiplantae; Streptophyta; Magnoliopsida; Poales; Poaceae. The transcript is spliced from 3 exons.